UUACGGUCAAAUCACGCUGAAACACCGGUUCUCGUACGAUCACCAAAGUUAGAUGGCCAGGUCAGUACUUAGAUGGGGGACCGCUUGGGAACACCUGGUACUGUAAG
Molecule: non-coding RNA, 107 nt
Organism: Acanthosepion pharaonis
Lineage: Eukaryota; Metazoa; Mollusca; Cephalopoda; Sepiida; Sepiidae
Source: the annotation of a GenBank genome assembly